RNAcentral lists this ribosomal RNA (253 nucleotides) under uncultured bacterium. RNAcentral describes it as "partial 16S ribosomal RNA". It matches the Rfam family "Bacterial small subunit ribosomal RNA", at positions 524 to 776 of the family's 1533-position model. The record is from RNAcentral.
UACGUAGGGUGCAAGCGUUGUCCGGAAUUAUUGGGCGUAAAGAGCUCGUAGGCGGUUUGUCGCGUCGGCUGUGAAAACCUGGGGCUCAACCCCGGGCCUGCAGCCGAUACGGGCAAACUAGAAUUCGGUAGGGGAGACUGGAAUUCCUGGUGUAGCGGUGAAAUGCGCAGAUAUCGGGAGGAACACCAGUGGCGAAGGCGGCUACCUGGACCAGCACUGACACUGAGGCACGAAAGCGUGGGGAGCAAACAGG